Herpailurus yagouaroundi (jaguarundi) is the source of this 138-nucleotide long non-coding RNA. RefSeq lists it as uncharacterized. The transcript has 2 exons. Lineage: Eukaryota; Metazoa; Chordata; Mammalia; Carnivora; Felidae. The record is from RefSeq and is a predicted model, not a curated record.
CUCUCUCUCUGCCCCUCCCCUGCUCAUGCUCUCUCUCUCUCUCUCUCUCUCUCUCUGUCUCAAAAUAAAAUAAACUUAAGGUCCACAGUAACUACACAUGUUAAGACAUAUCCCUCAAGUCCUCCUUUGUUUAAAAAU